Molecule: transfer RNA, 70 nt
Filed under: Sphaerodactylus townsendi
Lineage: Eukaryota; Metazoa; Chordata; Lepidosauria; Squamata; Sphaerodactylidae
Description: tRNA-Val
Rfam family: tRNA
About the family: Transfer RNA (tRNA) molecules are approximately 80 nucleotides in length. Their secondary structure includes four short double-helical elements and three loops (D, anti-codon, and T loops).
Source: RNAcentral
GACUGUAGCUCAGUGGUGGAGCAUCUACUUGACAUGCAGAAUGUUCCAGGUUCAAUCCCUGCCAUCCUCA